This 368-nucleotide long non-coding RNA is filed under the name Mytilus galloprovincialis (Mediterranean mussel). The record is from RNAcentral. Lineage: Eukaryota; Metazoa; Mollusca; Bivalvia; Mytilida; Mytilidae.
CUUUUACAGACGGCUUAUGAUUAUAUAUGUAAAAGAUUUAUAAAAAGAAAAAUGGGGGUAAGUGGGCCAAAAAUUUGAGGCAUUCAAAUGGAUAAAACUAGAGGAUUCCGAAAAUCUGCCAGAAAUUCCAAAUCAUGAUAAGCGAAUAUCCUUAAGUCCGAUUAACUGUACUAGACCGCUAUCUUUGAAUAUACAGAAGAGAUGCAUAAUCUGUCUUGCUCUUUGUUUAAAAUUUCAAUGUAUGUGCAUGUGUAAGGCUUUUGAUUAAAAUAAAGACAAAUAAGUGAUUUAUUUCUUUACAGUUGUAUUUACUAAUAAAACGUUUGUUUGCAAUUUUAUAAAUUUUGUUUAUUGCUUAAACAUUCACG